Molecule: long non-coding RNA, 204 nt
Filed under: Mytilus galloprovincialis (Mediterranean mussel)
Lineage: Eukaryota; Metazoa; Mollusca; Bivalvia; Mytilida; Mytilidae
Source: RNAcentral
AUAUCUGUUCCAUACAUGCUCCACUUAAUAUUGAGUGUAGUGUUGCGUAGUAUUGAACGGAACGGAUAUGUGAUCUCUGCACGGGAGAUUGGGACUUUGCUAUUCUUUGAAUGUCCCUUACAGUUUCUUAUUAUUUUGUACUAUUACACAACUGUCACUGGGUAAGGAGAUUGUUGAGUGCUGGCAAACUUGUCAAACCAGGCC